GCUUGCUAGAAGAUGACGAGUGGCGGACGGGUGAGUAAUGCUUGGGAACUUGCCUUUGCGAGGGGGAUAACAGUUGGAAACGACUGCUAAUACCGCAUAAUGUCUACGGACCAAACGGGGCUUAGGCUCCGGCGCAAAGAGAGGCCCAAGUGAGAUUAGCUAGUUGGUAAGGUAAUGGCUUACCAAGGCAACGAUCUCUAGCUGUUCUGAGAGGAAGAUCAGCCACACUGGAACUGAGACACGGUCCAGACUCCUACGGGAGGCAGCAGUGGGGAAUAUUGCACAAUGGGGGAAACCCUGAUGCAGCCAUGCCGCGUGUGUGAAGAAGGCCUUCGGGUUGUAAAGCACUUUCAGUUGUGAGGAAAAGUUAGUAGUUAAUACCUGCUAGCCGUG
RNAcentral lists this ribosomal RNA (393 nucleotides) under Alteromonas sp. Ar-135. RNAcentral describes it as "bacterial SSU rRNA". It matches the Rfam family "Bacterial small subunit ribosomal RNA", at positions 76 to 476 of the family's 1533-position model. Lineage: Bacteria; Pseudomonadati; Pseudomonadota; Gammaproteobacteria; Alteromonadales; Alteromonadaceae. The record is from RNAcentral.